UGGGUGUUGGGAGAAGCAGCAGGAAG
RNAcentral lists this non-coding RNA (26 nucleotides) under Homo sapiens (human). Lineage: Eukaryota; Metazoa; Chordata; Mammalia; Primates; Hominidae. The record is from RNAcentral.